Long non-coding RNA from Oncorhynchus keta (chum salmon), 1079 nucleotides. RefSeq lists it as uncharacterized. The transcript is spliced from 3 exons. The record is from RefSeq and is a predicted model, not a curated record. NCBI's taxonomy places the organism in Eukaryota, Metazoa, Chordata, Actinopteri, Salmoniformes, Salmonidae.
GGGAUGGUGUUUGUAAAUCUGAUGAGGUCAUAUGCCUACUGGACAUAUCCAUGAAUGUUUAUAUGUAGGCCUAUAUAUGUCAAUGUAGCUUAGAUUAGGGGUGUAUAAUAUUUAUAGGUAUAUCCAUGUAUACAGGUGUAUAUGAACCUGUAGAUAGUGUAUAUAGGUGUAUAUGAACCUGUAGAUAGUGUAUAUAGGUGUAUAUGUAGAUAGUGUAUAUAGGUGUAUAUGAACCUGUAGAUAGUGUAUAUAGGUGUAUAUGAACCUGUAGAUAGUGUAUAUAGGUGUAUAUGAACCUGUAGAUAGUGUAUACAGGUGUAUAUGUAGAUAGUGUAUAUAGGUGUAUAUGAACCUGUAGAUAGUGUAUAUAGGUGUAUAUGAACCUGUAGAUAGUGUAUAUAGGUGUAUAUGAACCUGUAGAUAGUGUAUAUAGGUGUAUAUGAACCUGUAGAUAGUGUAUAUAGGUGUAUAUGAACCUGUAGAUAGUGUAUAUAGGUGUAUAUGACCCUGUAGAUAGUGUAUAUAGGUGUAUAUGUAGAUAGUGUAUAUAGGUGUAUAUGUACCUGUAGAUAGUGUAUAUAGGUGUAUAUGAACCUGUAGAUAGUGUAUAUAGGUGUAUAUGAACCUGUAGAUAGUGUAUAUAGGUGUAUAUGAACCUGUAGAUAGUGUAUAUAGGUGUAUAUGAACCUGUAGAUAGUGUAUAUAGGUGUAUAUGUAGAUAGUGUAUAUAGGUGUAUAUGUACCUGUAGAUAGUGUAUAUAGGUGUAUAUGUAGAUAGUGUAUAUAGGUGUAUAUGAACCUGUAGAUAGUGUAUAUAGGUGUAUAUGACCCUGUAGAUAGUGUAUACAGGUGUAUAUGAACCUGUAGAUAGUGUAUAUAGGUGUAUAUGUAGAUAGUGUAUAUAGGUGUAUAUGAACCUGUAGAUAGUGUAUAUAGGUGUAUAUGAACCUGUAGAUAGUGUAUAUAGGUGUAUAUGAACCUGUAGAUAGUGUAUAUAGGUGUAUAUGAACCUGUAGAUAGUGUAUAUAGGUGUAUAUGAACCUGUAGAUAGUGUAUAUAGGUGUAUAUGAACCUGUAGA